RNAcentral lists this ribosomal RNA (162 nucleotides) under uncultured bacterium. Its description in RNAcentral is "partial 16S rRNA". It matches the Rfam family "Bacterial small subunit ribosomal RNA", at positions 358 to 511 of the family's 1533-position model. The record is from RNAcentral.
GGAAUCUUCGGCAAUGGGGGCAACCCUGACCGAGCAACGCCGCGUGAGUGAAGAAGGUUUUCGGAUCGUAAAGCUCUGUUGUAAGAGAAGAACGUGUGUGAGAGUGGAAAGUUCACACAGUGACGGUAACUUACCAGAAAGGGACGGCUAACUACGUGACAG